This is a non-coding RNA of Meleagris gallopavo (turkey), 576 nucleotides long. The record is from RefSeq and is a predicted model, not a curated record. NCBI's taxonomy places the organism in Eukaryota, Metazoa, Chordata, Aves, Galliformes, Phasianidae.
AGCCGUUAUGACUCGCGGCCCCGCCCGGCCCUCAGCGGCUCACUGAUGGAGAUGGCGGAGGAAAUGCAAAUAAGCAAACCCCAAAGUUACAGAGAAGCUGGUGGGACAGGACAUGAAGGAAAACAUUUCCAUUCUGGUGGAAACUGUAGGACAGGAAGACUGCUUGUGUGCCUGCAUAACUGUCACAGAAAGAAACAGUACUGCUGAUACCCAUCAGGAACAAGGAAAGAAUCACAGAACCAUUGCAGUUGGAACAGACCUCUAAGAUCAUCUAGUCUGACCAUCAACUCAUCAUCAGAGAUUUGCAUGGCUUAUCCUUCUGGACUCCAAGGUUUGUGGCUUGGUUGUAGAGUUAAAAUUUGCCAAAUAUCACAGCAUACCACAGAUUGGAGGUAGGGCAUCUGCAGAAGAGAAGCUAUGAAGAUCCUGUAUCAGCAACAGUACCACUAACUGUGUGGCCCUGAAACCUUGCAGGGUAGGGAAAGAUGAAGGUCAAACCCUGGUAGCAGUGGGAUAAAAACUGUGUGGAAACGUUCAGCUAUGGAUUGCCUUAUUGCCCAGCUGUUUGUAAAGCAA